Molecule: long non-coding RNA, 610 nt
Organism: Bos taurus (domestic cattle)
Lineage: Eukaryota; Metazoa; Chordata; Mammalia; Artiodactyla; Bovidae
Source: Ensembl
GAGUAACAAAGGUCGGUUCUUGGGGUCUCUGUGGGAGGGGCACUUCCUACUGUGCUGACUGUGGGUGGCGGUGUGCGGAGGUGCCUGGUGUGUGAUUUUCAUUCAGUAAAUGUUUGCAGAGGGCCCGGGGUGUGCUGGAGCCGGGGCCUGCAGGAAGGGUAAGGUUUCAGCAGGUGCAGGUGCCAAGGAUGGCGGCAGGAGGGACAGGCAGAGCCCUGGGGCUGGGGCAGGAGCAGCUAGUGCCAGAGUUUGGGAAGGGCUGACCACCUUGUCCUCUACCUGGCUCACAAUCUGGUAUCCCAGUCCCCCCUGCUACUGUGAUUGGUUCCAGGAGGAGCACGUGACCUCAGUCAAUCCAAUGGGAGUCGGUUUUGGAACGUAAGCCAUAAAGACUGGGAAAGUGGCUCUCCCUUGGUUGCCAUCCUUGCUGCAGCAUGGACAUGGUCAUGGUCAGCUAAGAAGGAAGCCCACACAGAAGGAAACAGUCAAGGGAAGGAGAGAAAAUCCGAUGCCAUCAUCAAGUCCCUCAUCUGGCUAUACCAAAGCCAAAUAAACAUCCCAAACCUCCCAAUUAUGUAAGCAAAUAAAUGCUAUUUCAUGCUUAUGCCCA